UGACGAAGCGACGCCGCGUGUGGGAAGAAGGCCUUCGGGUUGUAAACCACUGUCGGGAGUUAAGAAAUGCAAGGAUAUUAAUAGUGUCUUUGUUUGACUAAGGCUCCGGAGGAAGCCACGGCUAACUCUGUGCCAGCAGCCGCGGUAAUACAGAGGCGGCAAGCGUUGUUCGGCAUUAUUGGGCGUAAAGAGCACGUAGGCGGCCUUGCAAGUCAGUUGUGAAAGCCUUCUGCUUAACGGAAGAACAGCAGCUGAUACUGCAAGGCUAGAGUGCGGAAGGGGAGAGUGGAACUUCUGGUGGAGCGGUGAAAUGCGUAGAUAUCAGAAGGAACACCGGCGGCGAAGGCGACUCUCUGGACCGUAACUGACGCUGAGUGUGCGAAAGCUAGGGGAGCAAACGGGAUUAGAUACCCCGGUAGUCCUAGCCGUAAACGAU
Molecule: ribosomal RNA, 436 nt
Filed under: uncultured bacterium
Lineage: Bacteria
Description: bacterial SSU rRNA
Rfam family: Bacterial small subunit ribosomal RNA
Source: RNAcentral